GGAGGGUAUAGCUCAGUGGUAGAGCGUGUGCUUAGCAUGCACAGGGUCCUGGGUUCAAUCCCCAGUACCUCCA
This 73-nucleotide transfer RNA is filed under the name Vicugna pacos (alpaca). RNAcentral describes it as "tRNA-Ala (AGC) (tRNA-Ala-AGC-126-1)". It matches the Rfam family "tRNA". Rfam says of the family: Transfer RNA (tRNA) molecules are approximately 80 nucleotides in length. The record is from RNAcentral. Lineage: Eukaryota; Metazoa; Chordata; Mammalia; Artiodactyla; Camelidae.